This 292-nucleotide ribosomal RNA is filed under the name uncultured bacterium. RNAcentral describes it as "partial 16S ribosomal RNA". It matches the Rfam family "Bacterial small subunit ribosomal RNA", at positions 505 to 796 of the family's 1533-position model. The record is from RNAcentral.
GUGUCAGCAGCCGCGGUAAUACGUAGGGUGCGAGCGUUAAUCGGAAUUACUGGGCGUAAAGCGUGCGCAGGCGGUUGUGUAAGACAGGUGUGAAAUCCCCGGGCUCAACCUGGGAACUGCGCUUGUGACUGCACGGCUAGAGUACGGCAGAGGGGGGUGGAAUUCCUGGUGUAGCAGUGAAAUGCGUAGAUAUCAGGAGGAACAUCGAUGGCGAAGGCAGCCCCCUGGGCCGAUACUGACGCUCAUGCACGAAAGCGUGGGGAGCAAACAGGAUUAGAUACCCUCGUAGUCC